CAGGAUGAACGCUAGCGGCAGGCCUAACACAUGCAAGUCGAGGGGCAGCGAGGGUAGCAAUACCUGUCGGCGACCGGCGCACGGGUGAGUAACGCGUAUGCAACCUACCCAUAACAGGGGGAUAGCCCGGAGAAAUUCGGAUUAAUACCGCAUAAUAUUAUUAAACUGCAUGGUUUGAUGAUAAAAACUGAGGUGGUUAUGGAUGGGCAUGCGUGACAUUAGAUAGUUGGUGGGGUAACGGCCCACCAAGUCAACGAUGUCUAGGGGGCCUGAGAGGGUAGUCCCCCACACUGGUACUGAGACACGGACCAGACUCCUACGGGAGGCAGCAGUGAGGAAUAUUGCGCAAUGGACGAAAGUCUGACGCAGCCAUGCCGCGUGCAGGAUGAAGGCCCUAUGGGUUGUAAACUGCUUUUGUAUAGGAAGAAACUCCCGAUCGUGAUCGGGACUGACGGUACUGUAUGAAUAAGCAUCGGCUAACUCCGUGCCAGCAGCCGCGGUAAUACGGAGGAUGCAAGCGUUAUCCGGAUUUAUUGGGUUUAAAGGGUGCGUAGGCGGGGCUUUAAGUCAGUGGUGAAAUCCUGCAGCUUAACUGUAGAACUGCCAUUGAUACUGAAAUUCUUGAGUACGGUUGAAGUAGGCGGAAUGUGUAAUGUAGCGGUGAAAUGCUUAGAUAUUACACAGAACACCGAUUGCGUAGGCAGCUUACUAAGCCGAAACUGACGCUGAGGCACGAAAGCGUGGGGAUCGAACAGGAUUAGAUACCCUGGUAGUCCACGCCGUAAACGAUGAUCACUAGCUGUUGGCGAUACACAGUCAGGGGCAAAGCGAAAGCAUUAAGUGAUCCACCUGGGGAGUACGGUCGCAAGACUGAAACUCAAAU
RNAcentral lists this ribosomal RNA (883 nucleotides) under uncultured bacterium. RNAcentral's name for it is "bacterial SSU rRNA". It matches the Rfam family "Bacterial small subunit ribosomal RNA", at positions 25 to 906 of the family's 1533-position model. The record is from RNAcentral.